UUGUAUGUAGUUGAUUAGCAAAUAGCGUAAUGUAUUACAAUAACUAUUCUAAGAACAUUAAUUUUCUGUAAAAAUAUUUUAGCUACAAUUUCUUUUUUUUUAUAGAAAUUAUUUUAUUUGACCGAUUUUGUAAGUCUAAUAAGAAUUUGUACAGUAUUUUUGGUUCGUGGUAUGCGGAAAUAUUGGGAUGUAUAGUUUUCUUUGUUUGCUAUUUUAGACUUGUCUCUGGAUAGUUAUAGAAUAAAAGAAUCAACAGUAAUAAUAAUGAAGACAAUUAUUAGCAUACUCCUGUUUGCAGUAGUACUAGCUUUAUCAUCCUCAGAGAAAAUAGUAAAUAAGGAUGACUGUCAUUGCCAUGAGGGCUUUCUAGCAAAGACAACUCCUGACAAAGGAUAUAAGUGUUUUGGCGUUCUUCUAAAACUUAUAACAAAUUGUAAUACCAUAAAAAGACCAAGAUGCGUUUGCACAGAAGCAACAGGAAUUCUAUCAGAUGAAAGUGGUACCCAUUGUGUUGAGUACAGAAGUGGCAGAGAAAUCCAAAAGUGGAAUUGUGAAAACCAGGCAGAUUGGGAGAAGUUUUUUACCGAAUAUCCUGGUGAACGAUUUGUCAAAUUGUAAAUAAUCGAUAUUUUAUAAGGUUUAAAUAAUAUAUACGGGUGUCCAGAAACUCUACCGACAAACGAAGAUAGGAGAUUCCUCAGAUAAUUUUAAGACAAUUUAAUCAAAUUCACCUAGUCCGAAAAUGCUUCCUAAGGGAGCUAGAACUCUUUGAAGAUGGCGCCAUGUAAUUAGUUUUUCUUAAAUAUCUCCAGAACGCUUCUAGUUAGAAAAACAAAAAUUGGUACGCCUAUUUAUUUUUCGGGGAUAAAUCGAUUCCAUCUAUAGCGAAUUUAUAGUACCGGUCAUAGGCGUCCGUUUUAGGUAGGGUAAAAUUAUUUUAUCGCAUAAUUUUUUUGUCUUUAAAUUUUAAGCAUCUUUAACUUUGGAUUAUUAAAUUGUGAGGUAUGCUAGUACUAAAAGGUACUCUUGCUUUAAGUCGGUAGGACACACCGUUUUCUAGAAAAAUCGAUUUGAACAUUUUUCGUCUCUUGAAUUUGAAAAAAAAAAUUGAAAAACAUUUUAAAUAAGACAACGGUGUAUUUUACCAAUUUAAAGCAACAGUAACUUUUACUACUACAAUACCUCAUAAUUUAAUUAUCUAGUGUCAAAAAUGCUUAAAAAUUAAAGACAAAAAAUUUAUGCGAUAAAAUAACCGUUGACCUACCCAAAACCGACGCAUAUGAGCGAUACUAGAAAUUCGCAAUUAAUGAAAUCGAUUCAUCUCUGGAAUAUAAUUAAACGUACAAGUUUUCGAUUUUCUAAAUAGUUUUUUUUUUAUUUUUUUUCUAAUUUAAAAACGAAAAAUUUUCAAAUCGAUUUUUCUAGAAAACGGUUUAUUCUAUCGACUUAAAACAAGAAUAACUUUUAGUACAAGAAUACCUCACAAUUUAAUAAUCCAGAGUACAAAAUGCUUAAAAGUUAAAGACAAAAAAAUUAUGCGAUAAAGUAACCGUGGCCCUACCCAAAACGGACGCCUAUGACCGGUACUAGAAAUUUACAAUGGAUGGAAUCGAUUUAUCUCUGGAAGAUAAAUAAGCGUACCAAUUUUUGUUUUUCUAAAUAAAAGCGUUCCGGAGGAAUCUAAAAAAAACUAAUUACCAGACGCCAUCUUCAAAUAGCUCUAGCUCCCUUUGGAAGCAUUUUCUGACUAUGUGAAUUGGAAUAAAUUGUCUUAAAAUUAUAUGAGGAAUAUCCUGUAUUCGUUUAUCGGUAGAGAUUCUGGACACCCUGAAUUAAUAAAUAUACUUUUAUAUUA
Molecule: long non-coding RNA, 1855 nt
Organism: Diabrotica virgifera virgifera (western corn rootworm)
Lineage: Eukaryota; Metazoa; Arthropoda; Insecta; Coleoptera; Chrysomelidae
Exons: 2
Source: RefSeq, a predicted model, not a curated record